UAGGGAAUCUUCGGCAAUGGGGGGAACCCUGACCGAGCAACGCCGCGUGAGUGAAGAAGGUUUUCGGAUCGUAAAGCUCUGUUGUUAAGGAAGAACGAGUGUGAGAAUGGAAAGUUCAUGCUGUGACGGUACUUAACCAGAAAGGGACGGCUAACUACGUGCCAGCAGCCGCGGUAAUACGUAGGUCCCGAGCGUUGUCCGGAAUUAUUGGGCUUAAAGGGCAUCUAGGCGGUAAGACAAGUUGAAGGUGAAAACCUGUGGCUCAACCAUAGGCUUGCCUACAAAACUGUUGAACUAGAGUACUGGAAAGGUGGGUGGAACUACACGAGUAGAGGUGAAAUUCGUAGAUAUGUGUAGGAAUGCCGAUGAUGAAGAUAACUCACUGGACAGAAACUGACGCUGAAGUGCGAAAGCUAGGGGAGCAAACAGG
This 430-nucleotide ribosomal RNA is filed under the name Verrucomicrobiota bacterium. RNAcentral's name for it is "Verrucomicrobia bacterium partial 16S ribosomal RNA". It matches the Rfam family "Bacterial small subunit ribosomal RNA", at positions 355 to 776 of the family's 1533-position model. The record is from RNAcentral. Lineage: Bacteria; Pseudomonadati; Verrucomicrobiota.